RNAcentral lists this ribosomal RNA (447 nucleotides) under uncultured bacterium. Its description in RNAcentral is "bacterial SSU rRNA". It matches the Rfam family "Bacterial small subunit ribosomal RNA", at positions 29 to 519 of the family's 1533-position model. The record is from RNAcentral.
AACGAACGCUGGCGGCAUGCCUAACACAUGCAAGUCGAACGAGACCUUCGGGUCUAGUGGCGCACGGGUGCGUAACGCGUGGGAAUCUGCCCCUUGGUUCGGAAUAACUUCGGGAAACUGAAGCUAAUACCGGAUAAUGACGUAAGUCCAAAGAUUUAUCGCCAAGGGAUGAGCCCGCGUAGGAUUAGCUAGUUGGUGGGGUAAAGGCUCACCAAGGCGACGAUCCUUAGCUGGUCUGAGAGGAUGAUCAGCCACACUGGGACUGAGACACGGCCCAGACUCCUACGGGAGGCAGCAGUGGGGAAUAUUGGACAAUGGGGCGAAAGCCUGAUCCAGCAAUGCCGCGUGAGUGAUGAAGGCCUUAGGGUUGUAAAGUCCUUUCGGUCGGGGACGGAUGAUGACGGUACCCGCAGAAGAAGCCCGGCUAACUUCGUGCCAGCAGCCGCG